UGUGAAUUAUAAUAAUAAUAUUCCCGUUGUUGGGAAUAAUACACUUUGCCUGUUUUGAUCCAAGGCUCAAGUUGCAGAUAACAUGAUGUGCAGUCUGUUUAAAAUUGGUUAAGAUGUCAGCUGUUUGAAAUUUUUAACUUGUAUACUUAAAAGAUGUGUACAACAGAUGAUUACAAAAGCUGAAAAUCGACAGCUCGAUCUCCUCUUAAAGGGAAAACCUACGGCACAGAGCAAAUGGGGGAAAUCGAGGUGAAGAAAUAAUGAAAGUCCCGCAGACGUGAUUAGCACGUCUGAAUAUACCUCCUUUGGUUUCUCUGCCGCAGGCCUCCCAUGGAUAUUGCAGGCCUCCCAUGGAUAUUCCGUAAGGUAGAUCAUGAUAUGAUCUAAGAGGGGAAUUGUUGAUGCGAAUAUCCAUUUUGCUCAAUAUCCUAGCUGUUCAUAUAAGGGUUAAUUUGAACCAAGAAUAAAUUUGGAAUUGGUUAUUGAACACGUCUCUGCUAUUCAUUUCCAAUUUCCAGAGCUCUGUAUGAGUUGGCAAAUAUCCAUCAUCCACAAAGGGCCCGGGCUGAUUUUAUCCCCAACAGGAGGGGUACUCAGUGUCUGGGAUGGUUUAGGGAUCCUGUACAGCCUAUCCCCCACCCACUCGUAAUGCUCCCCAUCAACUCCCUCUCCCCCAGAAUCUGCCCUGGCCCUAUACUUCUCUCUAUACUUUGCAGGUACCACUAACUGUCGAUUCGGCGGAGGGGCAACACUCUUCUGGGAAGGCUUAGGGAUCCUAUAUAACCUGUCCCCCACCCACUCAUACCACUCCCCAUCUACUCCUUCCUCUCCAGCCUCUGCUCUAUCUCAGUAUUUCUGGAGAGUCGGGUCUUCCCGGGUUUCCCUCCCAUACAUCUCUGGGGUAUCCCAGCCUAAAGGGGCCUGGUCUAAGGUACAGGUCGGGGUAGAGAGUCUUACCUGGGUCUCGGCAGCAGGUGGGCCGGUCUCGGUGGCACGGGUCUGGGCACGGGUCGUGACAGCGUCCACUUCAAUGGGACCCAUGGGUUCGAAGGCUGAAACAAGGCGCGCCAAGUCAUUGCCAAGGAGGACUGGUAAAUCCUUCAUGACCCCCAAUCCAAAUGUACCUGG
Pelobates cultripes (western spadefoot toad) is the source of this 1128-nucleotide non-coding RNA. The record is from the annotation of a GenBank genome assembly. NCBI's taxonomy places the organism in Eukaryota, Metazoa, Chordata, Amphibia, Anura, Pelobatidae.